This 497-nucleotide ribosomal RNA is filed under the name uncultured bacterium. RNAcentral describes it as "partial 16S ribosomal RNA". It matches the Rfam family "Bacterial small subunit ribosomal RNA", at positions 28 to 507 of the family's 1533-position model. The record is from RNAcentral.
GAUGAACGCUGGCGGCGUGCCUAAUACAUGCAAGUCGAGCGAACGGACGAGAAGCUUGCUUUUCUGAUGUUAGCGGCGGACGGGUGAGUAACACGUGGAUAACCUACCUAUAAGACUGGGAUAACUUCGGGAAACCGGAGCUAAUACCGGAUAAUAUUUUGAACCGCAUGGUUCAAAAGUGAAAGACGGUCUUGCUGUCACUUAUAGAUGGAUCCGCGCUGCAUUAGCUAGUUGGUAAGGUAACGGCUUACCAAGGCAACGAUGCAUAGCCGACCUGAGAGGGUGAUCGGCCACACUGGAACUGAGACGCGGUCCAGACUCCUACGGGAGGCAGCAGUAGGGAAUCUUCCGAAAUGGGCGAAAGCCUGACGGAGCAACGCCGCGUGAGUGAUGAAGGUCUUCGGAUCGUAAAACUCUGUUAUUAGGGAAGAACAUAUGUGUAAGUAACUGUGCACAUCUUGACGGUACCUAAUCAGAAAGCCACGGCUAACUACGUG